GGCCCUGGCUCAGUGGAAGAGCCUCAGCUUUGUGUGCAGAAGGUCUCUGGCUCAAUCCCCGGCAUUGCCA
Molecule: transfer RNA, 70 nt
Filed under: Sphaerodactylus townsendi
Lineage: Eukaryota; Metazoa; Chordata; Lepidosauria; Squamata; Sphaerodactylidae
Description: tRNA-Thr
Source: RNAcentral